Molecule: long non-coding RNA, 528 nt
Filed under: Neogobius melanostomus (round goby)
Lineage: Eukaryota; Metazoa; Chordata; Actinopteri; Gobiiformes; Gobiidae
Description: lncRNA (ENSNMLG00000001465.1)
Source: RNAcentral
AAAGUCAGUGGGACCUGAAGAAUGUUCGGUUUCACAAAAGGACCUACGCAAGGUUGGAUGAUGUCGUCCUGAAAUAUCAAGAAAUCCACAAUGGCCUGCUCAGAGAAUAUAAAGACUCUCUUCAAAUCGUCCACAGAAAGAGAUACAAGGUCUUAACGGAAAAAUGGCGGAAAACUCGACAGCGCACACGUGGCAAGGGACACUACGUUACAGCCAUUAAAAAAGCAUUCACAUUUGAAGAGGGCCGCAGCAUGCCUCCCAAGACCCCAUUGAAAGCAACACCCAUGGUCCCAUCUUCAUCCUCAGAUGUAUCAGCAAGAUUUCAAUCACAGCCACCAUGCUCACCCUCAGAUCUCCCUGCAUCUGGCCCACGCAAGGUACCAAAAGUACCAGUGGUUUUGACAACCACACAACAGCUCCGCACUCUGUGGGAGAAGACGCCAUGCGAUAUUGCAGUGGCUUUGGUUCCCACUCAAGUGAGAGGGGACACCAUUGCCAUCCACCGUAGUGCAAUCUGCACGUUGCGGC